Molecule: ribosomal RNA, 292 nt
Filed under: uncultured bacterium
Lineage: Bacteria
Description: partial 16S ribosomal RNA
Rfam family: Bacterial small subunit ribosomal RNA
Source: RNAcentral
GUGCCAGCAGCCGCGGUAAUACGAACCGUCCAAACGUUAUUCGGAAUCACUGGGCUUAAAGGGUGCGUAGGCGGCCCGGGAAGUUGGGUGUGAAAUCCCUCGGCUCAACCGAGGAAUUGCGCCCAAAACUGCCGGGCUUGAGGGAGAUAGAGGUGAGCGGAACUUAGGGUGGAGCGGUGAAAUGCGUUGAUAUCCUAAGGAACACCGGUGGCGAAAGCGGCUCACUGGGUCUCUUCUGACGCUGAGGCACGAAAGCUAGGGUAGCGAAGAGGAUUAGAAACCCUGGUAGUCC